CAUGCCAUCCUUGAGCAUAUUCAUCAUGACAGCAACGCAGAAUCGUUCAUUCUCCGUUCAUAUGGUCAUAACAGGGGGACAAAGGGCUGAAUGUGUACGAUAUUUUUAGAGCGCAGUCACACGGAGGCGGAGCACGGAUGCUUCACGGCCAAGGAUGCGAGUGUCAAACAGCAGGUGGAGACUGACUGCUGAAGGAAAGAACCAGACGAGAACCGCCCACAGAAUCUCAAACACAUUUGAUGAGGAAGAGGGGAAAUAUCAGUGACCUGAUCCGCCCUGAAUGAGUGGGCCCUGAUAGCGUGAACCAUGGUGGACCCAUUGGAACCUGAUGACCAGAGUAAAUUCAGAGGGGCCCAGUUUGAAAGCCCCACUGCAGCCUCUGAAGCACCUUGUCUACCUGAGCCAGGUGAUGAUAGAGAGAAAGAUGUUAGUGUGGAUUCCAGCCCACAGACAGAGCCCAGUACUGAACCUGUACUGAGCCCUCAAGAACCAUGCCAGCAGCAAAACAGUCAACCAGAAGAGUUAAAACUACAUCUGGACCUUUACAAUUUUGACACACCAGCUGCAGAAGGCAGUCGGUAUGUACUGACAAGCCCUCGCUCUCUCGAGGCAUGCGCACGAUGUGGAGUGAAACCUGUGGAGCUUCUGCUUCGUCCACUGUCUGAUUUUGCCCGUGAGGCACCCGGCCGGAGUAUGCGUGUCGCCACAGGAAUGUUUGAGAUAUAUGAGCGGGAUAGACAUGCUAAACUCCGACACUGCAGAGAAGAGAGAGAGCGGAUUAUCAGAGAGGAGAAGAGGCGAAUUUUGCAGGCAGCUCUGAACAAUAAUGCUGGUCCACUGGCUUCAGAGAAGUCAGAGGAAACUGUAAAUGCUGGAUUGUCUCAACAAACCAAUCAGAGUUUAACAAAUCCAGCCCCCAAAAUAACACCUACUUGCAGCGGUGCACCCAAAAAACAAUCUACAUCAACAGCCCCUAAAAGCACGACAGCAGGGUCAGGACAAGUUUCUACAGUGUCCACAUCCAGCUCUCCUCCCAUCUCAAAAGCCAGUCCAGUGAACUCUGCUCCUACUGCUAAAGGAACUUCUGCAAAAAAGUCUAAGUCCCUUGAAGUAGAAUCUGCGGGAAAACUUCAAGGUCCAGAACCUUCAAUAAUCCAACGAUCGAUUCAGUCAGCUCCAGGAAGUCAGGGCUCAAAAAAACCUUCCAGUGCUCAUACAAAGGCUCCAAACACUUUCCCCAGAUCAAUACCAAAACCUUCUUCGUUUCCAAGGACACCAACCUCACUUGCCCCGAUAGUGUCAAAAUCUGCUGUCCAAAGCCCUGCCAACGGCAUUACAAGUACGUUUGCACAGCAUAAUGGGCAUAUCAUCUCCAAAUCAAAGGCUAGAUGCAGAAGCCACUCACUGGAGUCUUUGCAACGGAGGCGUGACACUUUUUGUUCCUCUACUGCUUCAACAACGAACACCACAACUACCACAUGUACCUCCUCUGAAUCUGCUUCCUCAUCCUAUAGCUGGGAUGGGGCAAGAGAUCACUGGGCUAAGACAUCAAGCUCUCGUGCCCGCACUUUAGCUACCUUUAACUCCCUGAUGGGUCGUAGUUUGAGCUUGGGAGACCUUAGCCAUUCUCCACAGACUAUGCAAAAAGUGGAGCGCAUUGUGAAAGAGGUGAAACGACGAGGACUUAAAGCUGUUCCAGAGCGUGACCGAAAGAUUGCUGCACUAAUGCUAGCCAGGUACCAAGAGGAGGACAUAAUGAGCCAGACACGCUACGUAGCACACCUGCAAUGGGACAGUGAGCGGCGAAUAGAGGAGCUGCGACGGGAACGUGAAGAGCGAGAGAAACAGAGGGCCGUGCAGCAGUGCCAACGUGCAUGGCAGUCACAGGUUUCUACCCGGCAGCGCUGGCUUAACCAGCAGGAGUGUGAGGCUGCAGAAGCAAAACUUCGCCAAGCAUUGGAAAAUGAGGAGCGUUGGAAAGAAUUGGCCGAGCAACAAGAACGUAGCCGGUCGCAGAAAUUGCAACAGGCCGCUCGUGAGGAAAAACACAAGAAGGCGUUACAAGAGCAGAACCUUAAAGCUCUGGAGGAGGAGCGAGCUGCUAUUCUUGAGCAAGAGAAACUACUCCUCAAGGAGAAACUGACCAUCGCUGAGCUGAAGCGACAGGAGCGAGAGCACCAAAUUCAAGAGGAGCGUCGUGGACUCAACCGUGCCGAGAAGAGGCACCAUGCAGCUCUUAUCCAAGAGAUUGCACGUCGUGAAGUGGACGAGCGUGAAGAAGCAUGGAGAAUAGCUGAAGAGAAGCUAAGUAGGUCUUUGGAGAACUAUGAGCAGAUACAAGAAAAACGUGGGCAAGAGUUAAAGGAGAAAGCUAAGCGAGAAGAGAAGCAGAUCCAGAAAGCAAGACGGGCCGCCGAGCUACGUGAGCAACAGCAGAAGGAACAGAUGGAGGCAAAGGCUAGGGAAGCCGAAAGACGAGCACAACAAGCCUCUCAAGUAGCUGAAGAGCGGGCACGGGAGAAGUCCCAACGUGUGGUGCAAAGCAGGAAGGAAAAAGAACGCCUCCAAAGGCUUAACCGUCAACGCGUAGAAGAGGAGGAGAAACAGCGCCGCCUAGAAUUGUUGCAGUCCAUUGAGCGCAAACUGGAAAAAAGUGAACAGAUUUUCAGAGAAAAACGUGCUGUGUUAGAAAGUGCUCGAUCCGUGGCUCGUGCAUCUUUCCACGUGCGGGAUCGUGUUCGUGAAGAGACAAACAUGCGCACCUUUGACAAGAUGGCCUUGGAGGCUCAGUUAAAUGCAAAUUUAGUUGAGAAGUGAGCGCUUCAAGUGUGCAACCUAAUUGCUCUUUCCAUGCACAUCUGUCUAGAAAUAAGCUGUGCUUGAGCCUACAUGCUAGCCUCAUCACCAAACUACAGCAACAAUAUUGAUGGUCAUGCCCUCAAGUGUUGUAUCUAAAGAUUCAUUUAUUCCUGAUGCUGGAUCAUUUUCAUCAUCUCAUCUAAAGAAAUAUUUUUCUGUAUUUAUAUCUUUUAAAUGUUAAUCUAAGAACUUAAUCUAAGUGCUUAUGUGUGGAUGCUCAUAUGUCGGGGCAUGAUUGUUUUUUGUAACUUGGCAGCCGUGUUGCUUUGAGAACUGUAUAUAAAGAGUUCAUUGUUUACAAGGACGUUUGGCACUAUGACAACAGUGAUGGCUUCUUUCUAAGGAUGGCUUUAUUUCUAAAAAGAAGAAAAAGAAAAGGGGACGGGAUGCUUCUCCCAGAGUAAAUCUUUUGAGGGAUACUCUUGUUUUAGGAAUCUAGGCCGUAGGAGAGUGAGCCAUGACUUGACUGUGUGUAAACUAAACUCUAGCUAAAUGCUGACCCAGCAUUACAUCCUAGAGUCAGGACAUGACAAAGAAUGAUCUCAGCACAGUGUAACUGCUGAUGAAGCACAGGAGUCUUUGGCCAGCAACAGACCCAUCAGGGCUCAAAUCCAUACUGACAUCCCCUGCAUUCCUUCAGGUUUGGGAGUGGAGAAGAUGACGAUGUUGACAUCUGUGGCCUGAUUCAGUAAAAAUAGCCCCCAAGAGACUGCAAAUUUCACUUUGAUCACCGAUCCUUAUUCCCUUUCUGGCAGUGACUCAGCUAGGCAUGACAUAAUUGGAAGGUUUAAUAAACACUGAUUUUAAUUCCAGCAUAUCCAGAUGGCACAUCAGCACCACUUUUAAUAUCAUAAAAGCCCAAAGAAACAAGAUUCAAAAAAGAUUCAAGAAACAAUUUCAUUUUUAUACAUUAUUGUAACAUGAGUUAAAUUUAGGGGCUUUUUAAAUGGAAGCAGAAUGGUGUUGAAUAAUAAUCAAGCUAAUAAUCAUGAAGAUGGACAAAAAAGGAUUCUGAAUGUAAUUCAUAACACAGCUUCUUAGGGCUAGUGACAAAGCAAGUGUUAAUUGCAUAUUAAUAAAUAACAGAUUGUUUCAUUAAAAUGGCCAUUUCUGCAUAUCAAUUUCGCUGCAGUGAACUUUGACAGCAGUGACAUGAACAUGAUUGUAGCAUUUUAUGUGUAAAAGUAUGUCUCAUCAAAUUAUUUUCGUCUCAGCACCAUUUUUUUUUUGUUAAUUCUAAUGAAAAUAUGUUUUCUGUAGGCAGCAGGUGCUUUAUUACUAGUUUAUUAAAAAGUGACAUGCAGGGACAUACUUUACUUGGGAACCAACAAUUCAGUUUUGAAA
Molecule: RNA transcript, 4203 nt
Organism: Sinocyclocheilus rhinocerous
Lineage: Eukaryota; Metazoa; Chordata; Actinopteri; Cypriniformes; Cyprinidae
Gene name: coiled-coil domain-containing protein 177-like
Exons: 3
Source: RefSeq, a predicted model, not a curated record